Non-coding RNA from Mycena galericulata, 99 nucleotides. The record is from the annotation of a GenBank genome assembly. NCBI's taxonomy places the organism in Eukaryota, Fungi, Basidiomycota, Agaricomycetes, Agaricales, Mycenaceae.
GUCUUCGUGGAGUAAUUUGGAAACUCAUUCCCUAUAUCUGUGGGCUCGAUGGGUGAAAGUUGAACGGGAGAGUUGGUGGUUCGAGCCCGCCCGAAGGCA